Molecule: long non-coding RNA, 298 nt
Organism: Falco peregrinus (peregrine falcon)
Lineage: Eukaryota; Metazoa; Chordata; Aves; Falconiformes; Falconidae
Exons: 3
Source: RefSeq, a predicted model, not a curated record
CUGUCUGUCCUGAACAUCUGACUUCAAGAUUUGACCAUUGGAAAAGAACAUAAAUUGCAUUUCAGAGUUGCAGGAAUGAAGGCUGUAUUUUAGAGGGUCCUGACUGCAAAUUGCACUAGAAGCCUAAUGAUGCUGAAGUUCCAAAAAUUAAAUACUGGUCUUCAAAACUGGGCCUCUCAUCUACCCAAGGAAAUUAUUUUCAGAGACUACUGAAGCACAGUCCAGGUGUUACCUGUAUCACACUGGGAAGCACAAAAGCCUGAGCAAUCCAGCUGCUGUUGGAUCUACUUGAAAAUUU